This 175-nucleotide ribosomal RNA is filed under the name uncultured bacterium. RNAcentral's name for it is "partial 16S ribosomal RNA". It matches the Rfam family "Bacterial small subunit ribosomal RNA", at positions 335 to 524 of the family's 1533-position model. The record is from RNAcentral.
ACUCCUACGGGAGGCAGCAGUGGGGAAUAUUGCACAAUGGGCGAAAGCCUGAUGCAGCAACGCCGCGUGAAGGAUGAAGGCCUUUGGGUCGUAAACUUCUGUCCUUGGGGAAGAAAAAAAUGACGGUACCCCUGGAGGAAGUCCCGGCUAACUACGUGCCAGCAGCCGCGGUAAU